UGUGUAAAACAUGUCUUUAUAAAAUGGCAUAUAUUUGCUCUUAUUUAGAAAUGGUCCACAGCCUCAAUCUCAUCAUUUGGUGAAGACGAAGGGCACUACUACUUCUGCAAAACAUCAGUCAAUUUAUCCCUCAAUUCAUUCAUCUGUAAUUUUCAGAAUUAGCAAAGACUCAUUUUCGAACUUUCAUCUAUUUAUAGUAUGACCAAUUAAAGUAUUGGUUGGAGCAGUUGAAUAGUGAUGAUAUUCAACUGCCGAAACCAUACGCAGGCUUGUGGCUCCGUCCCUGAUGAUAUAUCCAAAGCUAUUUCCGAGCUCAAUCAGAGAACUUAUUGGCUGAAUGGCAACUGGAGCACGUCGUCUACUCGCUCAUACGAUCUUCUAAGACCAUCCAAUCUCUGGCAUAUUGGUGGGAGAAGAUGUGGGAGGUACCUUCAGUUGACUCCAACCUUUGCAAAUGCUCUUCUGCACUUGCAAUAAGAGGAUGAGAUAAUGUGUGCCCGUACAUGGGUCCACGUGGAUGAGGAUAAUGAUGUAAGAGAUAUUUUGAAUCAUAUCCAGCUUUUGAUCACAAACGCAGGUCGGGACCUUCAAUCGCUUUGUGAUAUGGAAAGCUCUGAACAGGAUCGUGUUACUUACGACACACUUCAAGAGAUUUGGCUUCUCAAGCCUGACAUGAUUUUAUUUCUACGACUACUUCCCAAGCUCGUCCGAGCAUUUGGUGUUGUUCCAUCUGCUGAUGAAAUCCUGGCUAGAUAUAUUGAAUCCCUUGUUGACAAUCUACAGUUUUUGCUAAACUACAAGGCAGAUUUUGUUGCUCCUGUGAAGGAAAAACUUGAAGUUUUCAAAGGAAAUCUGAAAAUUCUGAAAGAUGAAUUGGAUGAGGAUAUGGCUGAUUGCAUUAGUUUCACGCUGAUAGAUCUGCUACAGAGCAUACACCAUGCUAAAUCAGAUAUCCGUUCUUAUGUUGGAGGCCUGAAACUUUUACACCCAACUAUAGAGUUCACUAGGGAAGUGGAUGUCUUUGCAGCUGGCUUUGUUCAUUUCACCCUAGAAGCACCGAUGAGUAAGCUCAAUUCCCGGUCCUAUCUACCUAUCUACAACGAUCGUGUUCAAAAACUCCAAAUUUCGCUCAGGUUACUGCUGGUAUAUAUCUUAUGCUGUGAUAUCCAUAAUGAAAGCUUGACAAUAUUUGAUCUUGUAGUCAAUGAGUUUUGGUCAUUCAUUAGCUCAUUAGACAACCGAGAAACAAAUGAAGAUUUGGGCAAAGAAUUUGAUCUUGCUAUAUCCCGUUUGGUGCAAAAGAUGGAGCCUAUGGCAUCAAAGAUCUUAAAGGGUACUAUUGAGAAACAAAAGCCAGCAUUGCCCUUUUCCCAGAUUGAUAGUUUGGGAUGAAUAGAUUUGGUAUCGCAAAAUUUGCUGAGAUUGUUGGAUCAUAGGAAUGAUUCAAUUGCUCCGGUAGCACAUCACAUUGAAGUUGUACUGUUUGAUAUUAAAAUUUUCAGACCUUUUCUCAAAGGUAAUGUUGACCAACAAGGUAAGCACGAGGAAGUGUUAUAUGUUUGUGAUCGUAUGACCAAUUUAUUUGUCAUAUUUGAAUAUAUUGUUGACAUGUUCGUGCUUGAACCUUCUCCUCUAUGGAACAAUCAGUUAGACGAUGUCAUUGAAGAAAUUAAGUUCUUCAAGGAAGUUGUUGAAUUUUCGCAAAUCUACACAGGAAAAAAGGAUGUCCCAAUUGAUUGUCAAACAUCAAAACCUAGCACUCCAAUCAUUAAUGAAGCUGUUGUAGGCUUGGAGGACCAGAUAGAAUUAUUAAUGGCACGGCUAGUUGGUGGAGGAGCCGAGCUUAAAACCAUUCCUAUCAUUGGCAUGCCAGGAAUUGGUAAGACAACACUUGCCAAAAGAAUUUACAAUGACAGAAGAACUUCAGAUCACUUUGAUAUUCGAGCAUGGUGUUCUGUUUCUCCUAGACAUACGGGGAGUGAAUUGGCCCAAGAUAUUUUAUUUUCUAUCGUUGAUCUGAGCAAUGACAUUUGCAAGUCAGAGGAGGGGAAGGAGCUAGAUUUUCUUGAUCUUUUACGCAGACAGUUACAUAGAGGAAGAUACCUCAUCGUUUUAGAUGAAGUGUGGGAUUCUUAUAUAUUUGAUGAGUUGCACAGGUGUUUUCCAGAUAAUCAUAAUGGAAGCAGAAUUCUUGUUACCAGCGGCCGAAAAUAUGAGGAUCCAUUGUUUGAUGAACCUCUUUUGGUUCGCUUGUUGACUCCGGAAGAAAGUUGGGAGCUAUUACAAGUGAAAUUUAAUCACCUUAGUUUCUGUACUCAAGAAGAAUUUCGCAAACCCCCAAUUCCAAAUGAGAACUGUCCUGCUGAAGUUGGGAAGGAAAUUGCCGUAAAUUGUCGAGGGCUACCUCUGGCCAUUGUUUUGGUAGCUGGGUUUCUUGUCAAUUUAGAGGACGACAACGAUUGGCUAACCAUUACUGAAGAGGCAUUUAGUUCAGAAACUAACCGUGAUGUAGGAGACUGCAAUGAAAUAAUAGAAUUGAGCUACAAAAAUAUGCCUGGUUAUCUAAGACAAUGUUUUCUAUAUUUUGCAGCAUUGCCAAUGAGUACAGAAAUUUCAGUUUCAAAACUAACAUGGGUAUGGGCUAGUGAAGGAUUUGUACGAAGAGAUGAGGUGAAGAAACCAGAGGAGGUAGCAGAAGAUUACCUGAAUGAUCUUAUCGGGAGGAGCCUUGUAAUGGAGGCCAGAAGAAGUUCAAAGGGCGGGCUGAAAUCAUGUCAAGUUCAUUAUUAUCUAUAUCAUUUCUGUCGAGGCAGAUUUAAAGUCGAAAAGUUCUUGCCAGUGGCAUCACGAUUUGAAGCUUUCUUUCUGGAUACACCACAUAUUUCCCUUACCCGCACAAUGAUAUAUUCUUCUGAACCCGGAUGGCACUGCUCAUUGCUAGGUCCUCUCCCCGAGAAAGGUCUAUUUCUGGGCGUCUUUGAGCUUGUUAGAGUGUUGGACUUGGGGUGCAUCAACAUUGGCAAUACCUUUCCUCCGGAAAUAGAAAGGCUUGUGCAUCUGAGAUUUUUGUCACUUCAAGGUGGCAUGCCAUUCAUUCCCUCUUGGAUUUCCAGGCUCUGGAACUUGGAAACUUUCCUAGUGAAAGGAAGAGAAGGUGAGGUAACUUUACCAGAUACAUUUUUCAGUAUGAAGAGGCUGAGGCAUGCACAUAUAGAUAACUGUACCUUCUCAGAUUCCAACUUGUCCCAAUUGGAUUCUUUGCAGACCUUAUCCACUCCAUCUCUUUCUUAUGACACAAGGAUUAUAGUGAGAAGUUUCCCUUUCCUUCAAAAACUAAAAUGCAUAUUUUUGGAAUCUUGGGGUCAUUCUGAGAACUUGGGAGAAUCUUGCAAUCGAUUUCCAGUUUUGGAUUUCUUGAAUCAGCUUGAAUCACUCAAUGUGAUUUAUCAAGGUCGGGUGCUUCUGCCUUGUGAAUUUAACUUCCCCUCGAACCUUAAGAAAUUGACCUUAUCAAAGUUUCGGUUGCCAUGGAUUGAAAUUUCUGCAAUUUCAGCAUUACCAAACCUUGAGAUUUUGAAACUACUUUCAAAAGCUUUUGAGGGAGAGGGGAGUGGAACGUGAGUGAUGAGGAAUUUCCAAAACUCAAGUACUUGAAAUUGGGAAAUCUGAAUAUUACACGUUGGAAUAUAUCAGAGGAUGCCUUCCCAUGUCUUGAGCAUAUAGUGUUGCAAAAUUGCAAGCAGCUCAUUGAGAUUCCUUUUGAGUUUGGUGAUAGUUGUUCCCUGCAAAAGAUUGAGGUGUUCUUGUGUGGAGACUCUGUUUCUCAAUUAGUCAGAAAAAUUGAGGAAAGUCAGUGUGAAGAGAUGGCAAACAGCAAUUUCAAGGUCAUCAUUCAGAACCCAAACAGGGACUGAAGAAAACGAAUCUCGUCUUUAAUCUCCACGCUCGCUUAGUGAUGGUUAGACCAAUGAUGUUGUAUGGGAUUGAGUAUUGGCCAGUCAAGAAUUUCCAUGUUCAAAAGAUGAAAACAACAUAAAUGAUGAUGCUGAGAUGAAUGUGUGGACAUACCAGGAGAGAUAAGAUUAGGAAUAAGUUAAUCAGGACAAAGUGGUCGCUGUGGAGGACUAGAUGCGGAGGUCGAGGCUGAGAUGGUUCGGACGCAUGAAGAGGACAAGCACAGAUGCUCCUAUUAGGAGAUGUGAGAGGUUGGUUAUCUAAAAAACAAUUAAUGUCAUUGCCUGUAAAUUUGUGCAGAUAUUAUUGACUGUAAUUAUUUUUGGUCUCCAAUCUCUAAAUCUUCACUAUUCUUCUAGAUAUGUUUGAUAUGAUAUGUUGUACUAUUAUUUUC
Non-coding RNA from Nicotiana tabacum (common tobacco), 4348 nucleotides. The record is from RefSeq and is a predicted model, not a curated record. NCBI's taxonomy places the organism in Eukaryota, Viridiplantae, Streptophyta, Magnoliopsida, Solanales, Solanaceae.